UACGUAGGGUGCGAGCGUUGUCCGGAAUUACUGGGCGUAAAGAGCUCGUAGGUGGUUUGUUGCGUUGUUCGUGAAAACUCACAGCUCAACUGUGGGCGUGCGGGCGAUACGGGCAGACUAGAGUACUGCAGGGGAGACUGGAAUUCCUGGUGUAGCGGUGAAAUGCGCAGAUAUCAGGAGGAACACCGGUGGCGAAGGCGGGUCUCUGGGCCGAAACUGACGCUGAGGAGCGAAAGCGUGGGGAGCAAACAGG
This 253-nucleotide ribosomal RNA is filed under the name uncultured bacterium. RNAcentral's name for it is "partial 16S ribosomal RNA". It matches the Rfam family "Bacterial small subunit ribosomal RNA", at positions 524 to 776 of the family's 1533-position model. The record is from RNAcentral.